This 233-nucleotide ribosomal RNA is filed under the name uncultured bacterium. RNAcentral describes it as "partial 16S ribosomal RNA". It matches the Rfam family "Bacterial small subunit ribosomal RNA", at positions 100 to 334 of the family's 1533-position model. The record is from RNAcentral.
CGGGACGGGUGAGUAAUGUCUGGGAAACUGCCUGAUGGAGGGGGAUAACUACUGGAAACGGUAGCUAAUACCGCAUAACGUCGCAAGACCAAAGAGGGGGAUCUUCGGGCCUCUUGCCAUCGGAUGUGCCCAGAUGGGAUUAGCUAGUAGGUGGGGUAAAGGCUCACCUAGGCGACGAUCCCUAGCUGGUCUGAGAGGAUGACCAGCCACACUGGAACUGAGACACGGUCCAG